RNAcentral lists this ribosomal RNA (119 nucleotides) under Gigantopelta aegis. The record is from RNAcentral. Lineage: Eukaryota; Metazoa; Mollusca; Gastropoda; Neomphalida; Peltospiridae.
GUCUACGGCCAUACCACGUUGAAAGCACCGGUUCUCGUCCGAUCACCGAAGUUAAGCAACGUCGGGCCCGGUUAGAACUUGGAUGGGUGACCGCCUGGGAACACCGAGUGCUGUAGAAA